Molecule: ribosomal RNA, 363 nt
Filed under: Triticum aestivum (bread wheat)
Lineage: Eukaryota; Viridiplantae; Streptophyta; Magnoliopsida; Poales; Poaceae
Description: partial small subunit ribosomal RNA
Source: RNAcentral
AUGAGUCUCCUUGCUGACACAAAUCGUGGCCUCGCCGCCGCCAAUGUCUCCGCUCCGGCGACGCCAUCUUCGCCGGGCGAAGCCCACGCCCACGCCCACCCUCAAGCGGAAGCGGGCCGCGCCGGCCGUCGCCCAAGACCCCGACCAAGGCCGAGCCCACGCGGCAGAGGCGGAGGACUGCCGCGUGUGCUCCGGCGCCGGCGGCGGGUCAUGGUGGAGUGCCUCGGUGGGUUCCACCUGCGGUGCGUGCGCCCGCUGCUGCAGCGUGUGCCGGAGGGGGACUGCGAGGCCGAGCGUGAUGUCUCCGGCCCAAGCCUGAAGCCGCCCGUGGGGGAAGAGAUCUCUAUUUCAUGGCCGUCGUGA